GAGAGCUGAGAGAGUCGGAGCAAGAGGAAGAAGAACGAAGAAGGAGAAGAGGUUGAGUGGGAGCCGAUUGCUUACAUGCAAGGUUGGAUUUGGAUUAAGGAGCAGGAGCUAGGAGGCACUUCAAUGGCAACUUAAGCUUGUUUGAUUUACAAUACAAUUUUAGAAGAGCAUGGAGGAGGGUAGAACUUUGAGCUGGGAUUUAAAGACCAGGUAGAAAUGUUUUCAUUUAUCUUUUUGGUUCAAGAACUUGGGAUUAUUUAUUUUUAAUUGAUUUUGAGUUGUAUUGGUUGAAGAAAAUCUAGUUCUAAGUUGUGGUAAACGUUGGUUUAAGACUUAAGAGCCUGCUGUGCGGCAGCCCCCUACCUGACA
Molecule: long non-coding RNA, 369 nt
Organism: Neltuma alba
Lineage: Eukaryota; Viridiplantae; Streptophyta; Magnoliopsida; Fabales; Fabaceae
Exons: 2
Source: RefSeq, a predicted model, not a curated record